GACGAACGCUGGCGGCGUGCUUAACACAUGCAAGUCGAACGGAAAGGCCCUGCUUUUGUGGGGUGCUCGAGUGGCGAACGGGUGAGUAACACGUGAGUAACCUGCCCUUGACUUUGGGAUAACUUCAGGAAACUGGGGCUAAUACCGGAUAGGAGCUCCUGCUGCAUGGUGGGGGUUGGAAAGUUUCGGCGGUUGGGGAUGGACUCGCGGCUUAUCAGCUUGUUGGGGGGGUAGUGGCUUACCAAGGGUUUGACGGGUAGCCGGCCUGAGAGGGUGACCGGCGACAUUGGGACUGAGAUACGGCGCAGACUCCUACGGGGGGCAGCAGUGGGGAAUAUUGCCCAGUGGGCGGAAGCCUGAUGAAGCAACGCCGCGUGCGGGAUGACGGCCUUCGGGUUGUAAACCGCUUCCGCCUGUGACGAAGCGUGAGUGACGGUAAUGGGUAAAGAAGCACCGGCUAACUACGUG
This 468-nucleotide ribosomal RNA is filed under the name uncultured bacterium. RNAcentral's name for it is "partial 16S ribosomal RNA". It matches the Rfam family "Bacterial small subunit ribosomal RNA", at positions 28 to 507 of the family's 1533-position model. The record is from RNAcentral.